GCCCUUGUAGCAUAGUGGUGGUGCGGUGCUCUCGUAAAGCGCAGGUCGAGGGUUCAAAUCCCUCCAAGGGCU
RNAcentral lists this transfer RNA (72 nucleotides) under Candidatus Woesearchaeota archaeon. Its description in RNAcentral is "tRNA-Thr". It matches the Rfam family "tRNA". From Rfam's summary of the family: Transfer RNA (tRNA) molecules are approximately 80 nucleotides in length. Their secondary structure includes four short double-helical elements and three loops (D, anti-codon, and T loops). The record is from RNAcentral. Lineage: Archaea; Nanobdellati; Candidatus Woesearchaeota.